This 22-nucleotide non-coding RNA is filed under the name Arabidopsis thaliana (thale cress). The record is from RNAcentral. Lineage: Eukaryota; Viridiplantae; Streptophyta; Magnoliopsida; Brassicales; Brassicaceae.
UUGACUUGCCUUACGCUUCAUC